This 58-nucleotide transfer RNA is filed under the name Salmo salar (Atlantic salmon). It matches the Rfam family "tRNA", at positions 8 to 63 of the family's 71-position model. From Rfam's summary of the family: Transfer RNA (tRNA) molecules are approximately 80 nucleotides in length. Their secondary structure includes four short double-helical elements and three loops (D, anti-codon, and T loops). The record is from Rfam by way of RNAcentral. Lineage: Eukaryota; Metazoa; Chordata; Actinopteri; Salmoniformes; Salmonidae.
UGGCUCAGUUUGUAGAGCAUGGUGUUUGCAACGCCAAGUUUGUGGGUUCCAUUCCCAC